CCCUUAGAUGUCCUGGGCUGCACGCGCGCUACACUGAUGUGUCCAGUAAGCACCUAACCUCUUCCGAAAGGAACGGGUAACCUUUGCAAAGCACAUCGUGAUGGGGAUAGAUUAUUGCAAUUAUUAGUCUUGAACGAGGAAUUCCUAGUAAGCACAAGUCAUCAGCUUGUGUUGAUUACGUCCCUGCCCUUUGUACACACCGCCCGUCGCUCCUACCGAUUGAAUGAUCCGAUGAAUAUCAUGGAUUGAGGAUGCAAGUAGGUUCGCCUAUCUUCAUCUUCGAGAAGUGAAGUAAAUCUUAUCAUUUAGAGGAAGGAGAAGUCGUAACA
This 329-nucleotide ribosomal RNA is filed under the name uncultured eukaryote. RNAcentral's name for it is "partial 18S ribosomal RNA". It matches the Rfam family "Eukaryotic small subunit ribosomal RNA", at positions 1470 to 1796 of the family's 1831-position model. The record is from RNAcentral.